GACGAACGCUGGCGGCGUGCCUAAUACAUGCAAGUAGAACGCACAGUUUAUACCGUAGCUUGCUACACCAUAGACUGUGAGUUGCGAACGGGUGAGUAACGCGUAGGUAACCUGCCUGGUAGCGGGGGAUAACUAUUGGAAACGAUAGCUAAUACCGCAUAAUAUUGAUUAUUGCAUGAUAAUUGAUUGAAAGAUGCUAUUGCAUCACUACCAGAUGGACCUGCGUUGUAUUAGCUAGUAGGUGAGGUAACGGCUCACGUAGGCGACGAUACAUAGCCGACCUGAGAGGGUGAUCGGCCACACUGGGACUGAGACACGGCCCAGACUCCUACGGGAGGCAGCAGUAGGGAAUCUUCGGCAAUGGACGAAAGUCUGACCGAGCAACGCCGCGUGAGUGAAGAAGGUUUUCGGAUCGUAAAGCUCUGUUGUAAGAGAAGAACGGGUGUGAGAGUGGAAAGUUCACACUGUGACGGUAUCUUACCAGAAAGGGACGGCUAACUACGU
RNAcentral lists this ribosomal RNA (504 nucleotides) under uncultured bacterium. Its description in RNAcentral is "partial 16S ribosomal RNA". It matches the Rfam family "Bacterial small subunit ribosomal RNA", at positions 28 to 506 of the family's 1533-position model. The record is from RNAcentral.